AUUGAACGCUGGCGGAAUGCUUUACACAUGCAAGGUCGAACGGUAGAGGGGGCAACCCCUCGAGAGUGGCGAACGGGUGAGUAAUAUAUCGGAACGUGCCCAGUCGUGGGGGAUAACGUAGCGAAAGUUACGCUAAUACCGCAUACGAUCUAAGGAUGAAAGCGGGGGAUCGCAAGACCUCGCGCGAAUUGGAGCGGCCGAUAUCAGAUUAGGUAGUUGGUGGGGUAAAGGCUCACCAAGCCAACGAUCUGUAGCUGGUCUGAGAGGACGACCAGCCACACUGGAACCUGAGACACGGUCCAGACUCCUACGGAGGCAGCAGUGGGAAUUUGGAC
This 335-nucleotide ribosomal RNA is filed under the name uncultured bacterium. RNAcentral's name for it is "bacterial SSU rRNA". It matches the Rfam family "Bacterial small subunit ribosomal RNA", at positions 30 to 369 of the family's 1533-position model. The record is from RNAcentral.